GAUGAACGCUAGCUACAGGCUUAACACAUGCAAGUCGAGGGACCGGCGCACGGGUGAGUAACACGUAUCCAACCUGCCCUUUACUCGGGGAUAGCCUUUCGAAAGAAAGAUUAAUACCCGAUAUAAAGGAUGGGGAUGCGUUCCAUUAGGUUGUUGGUGAGGUAACGGCUCACCAAGCCUUCGAUGGAGAGGGGUUCUGAGAGGAAGUCACCCUAGAUUGGAGCUGAGGCACGGUCCAAACUCGGACGUAAGGGAGAGGUAAGGAAUACAAGGGAAUGAGGUCUGGCCUGAACCAGCCGAGUGGGGUAAGGGAGGAAGGCUUAUGGAUCGUAAAUUACUUGUAUAUAAGAGUAUGUAUUAUAUGAAUAAGGAUCGGCUAACUCCGUGCCAGCAGCCGCGGUAAUAC
Molecule: ribosomal RNA, 406 nt
Filed under: uncultured bacterium
Lineage: Bacteria
Description: partial 16S ribosomal RNA
Rfam family: Bacterial small subunit ribosomal RNA
Source: RNAcentral